Molecule: long non-coding RNA, 633 nt
Filed under: Homo sapiens (human)
Lineage: Eukaryota; Metazoa; Chordata; Mammalia; Primates; Hominidae
Description: HSALNT0019786
Source: RNAcentral
GUGACGACACAGCAACAAGACGCCUUCUUGGAAGCAGAGAGAUGGGACCGUCAGCAGGCACCAAACCUGCUGGCACCUUGAUCUUAGGCUUCCUGGCCUCCAAAACUGUAAAGAAAAAGAAUGAAGAAAAAGAGAAAGAAGAGAAAGGGAAGAUGCAACAGGCAGCAGAUGGUUGGGAAAAAAUUAAAAGAGAAGAUGAGAAAUAUGAAGAAAGAGGAGAAGAUUUGAAGAAAAUAAAGCAAAAUGUUGAUUUGACUUAAGUGAUGAGGGCUCUGCCACCGGCCUUUAGCAGAGACACCGCUGCAGCAGAAUGCUGCCCACACAACUCCAUCUGGAUUUUUGGCACAUGAUUUUGAAUCUCCAUUUGCCCAAGCCAUCACUCUUUGUGACUCUGACUUUGUGUUUCGAUUCUGCUUCUUGGUGGUGUUGCCUACUCAUGAAUUGGUUCCUGACUAUGGCCCAUUCCAACCUCAACCUGUCUACGUCCCCUGGAAAGAACAGAUAGGACUCAACACAUCAUGCCUAUAUAGCUUGUCAAGUUCUUCAAAGUGUCUUCCUACCUAAAGAAAGAUACGAAGAUUUUCAAGUCUAUUAUCGUGUCACUGAAACCAAUUAUUAAAAACUUUACAUAGC